RNAcentral lists this ribosomal RNA (194 nucleotides) under Escherichia coli. RNAcentral's name for it is "partial 23S ribosomal RNA". It matches the Rfam family "Bacterial large subunit ribosomal RNA", at positions 1 to 186 of the family's 2925-position model. Lineage: Bacteria; Pseudomonadati; Pseudomonadota; Gammaproteobacteria; Enterobacterales; Enterobacteriaceae. The record is from RNAcentral. RNAcentral also lists the same sequence under 1 other name.
GGGUUGUGAGGUUAAGCGACUAAGCGUACACGGUGGAUGCCCUGGCAGUCAGAGGCGAUGAAGGACGUGCUAAUCUGCGAUAAGCGUCGGUAAGGUGAUAUGAACCGUUAUAACCGGCGAUUUCCGAAUGGGGAAACCCAGUGUGUUUCGACACACUAUCAUUAACUGAAUCCAUAGGUUAAUGAGGCGAACCG